GGAACGGUGGCAGAGCGGCCUAAUGCACUUGUCUUGAAAACAAGAGACCUUACGGGGUCCGGGGGUUCAAAUCCCUCCCGUUCCG
RNAcentral lists this transfer RNA (85 nucleotides) under Acidimicrobiaceae bacterium. Its description in RNAcentral is "tRNA-Ser". It matches the Rfam family "tRNA". From Rfam's summary of the family: Transfer RNA (tRNA) molecules are approximately 80 nucleotides in length. Their secondary structure includes four short double-helical elements and three loops (D, anti-codon, and T loops). The record is from RNAcentral. RNAcentral also lists the same sequence under 2 other names. Lineage: Bacteria; Bacillati; Actinomycetota; Acidimicrobiia; Acidimicrobiales; Acidimicrobiaceae.